This 10468-nucleotide long non-coding RNA is filed under the name Gossypium barbadense (sea-island cotton). RNAcentral describes it as "long non-coding RNA (GBAR_LNC013212)". Lineage: Eukaryota; Viridiplantae; Streptophyta; Magnoliopsida; Malvales; Malvaceae. The record is from RNAcentral.
GGAAGUCUGUUUUGUUGACAGGGCCUUGCUUGCCAGAAACGAAUACCCAACAGCUUGAUGAGAAAUGGGUUAGUUGGUUGAGCCAGUUCGAGCCAGGGUCUGUUGUGUUUUGCUCAUUUGGAAGCCAGAGUGUGUUGCAGAAGGAUGAGUUCCAGGAGUUGGUGCUUGGGUUUGAGCUAUGUGGGCUACCAUUUUUGGUAGCUUUAAAGCCACCCCAAGGAUUCUCGACUGUUGAAGAAGCACUGCCGGAGGGGUUUCAAGAUAGGGUUGGAGGAAGAGGGUUGGUGUAUGGAGGUUGGGUUCCACAAGAGCAGCUAUUGCACCACCCUAACAUCGGGUGUUUCGUUAACCACUGUGGGUAUGGAACGAUGUGGGAGUUUUUGCUUAGUGACUGCCAAAUCGUGUUGAUUCCUGAAAUAGGGGAUCAAAUUUUGAACACCAGAUUAAUGGUGAAAGAACUCAAGAUUGGAGUUGAAGUGGAGAGAGGUAAAAACAGGGAGGUUUCAAAGGAGUCAUUGAGUGAAGCCAUCAAGUUUGUGAUGGACAAGGACAAUGAAACAGCUAAUAUGAUGAAGAGAAACCAUGCUAAGCUGAAGCAGAUACUAUCUAACAGGGAUCUUCAAGAAGGAUAUAUCAACAAUUUCAUCCAAGCUCUGCAAGAUCUUGUCAAAUAGAGUGGCAAAAUCCAAGCAAUUGGUUAGAAAAUGAAAGUGAAUCAUAGGUAUGAUUAUUGUUUUAUCACAUUCUUAUUUUCUAAUUGUCCAUGCUUUUAUUAAUUUCAAAUAAAGCAAUGUUUAUUAAAUUACAAUUUUAAUAUAUAAAUAAAAUUCAAAUAAACUUUAAUUGAAAGUUCCAAUGAAAUGAAAUUUUGAAAUUGAAAUAAAAUUCAAAUAAAAUAUCAAUUUAAAGCAAUAUUUAUUAAAUUACAAUUUAAAUAUAUGAAUAAAAAUUUAUAAUAAAUAUAAUUUAAAUAAAGAAAGCAAUAUUUAUUAAAUUACAAUUUAAAUAUAUAAAUAAAAAUUCAAAUAAAAUUUAUUUAAAAAUUACAUUGAAUUGAAAUGAAAUUCAAAUAAAAUAUCAAUUUAAAGCAAUAUUUAUUAAAUUAUAAUUUAAAUAUAUAAAUAAAAAUUUAAUUCAACAAUUACAUGACAAAUGAAGUUAUAAUUAAAAAAGAAAAAAAAGUGAAAUGAAAUUAAAAUUGAAAUCAAAUUCAAAUGAAAAAAAUUCGAAAUGCCAAAACAUGACAGGCCGCACUUGUGACAGCCUUGUCAAAACAGGCCACCCAAUGGCUGGCACCAACGGCCCAAUGUGCCAGAUCAGCCUGUCAAUGGUCAAAAAAUUAAAUUUUGUCAUGCCUAUGAGGCCUAAUAUGUGUCAAAUCGGCCACUCAAUGGCCGGCAUCAGUAGACUAGACCUGCUCUGACAUGCCCCGGGGCAGGGGCCAAAAUUUUAUUUUCUUUUUUUACCCUUUUUACCCCUACUCAACCACUAUGGUCCCUCACUUUAAAUGUCCCAAAAUUCAAGCACCAUCGUUCAUGGUUGAUCACUAUCGAUCACCGUCACUGAUCACAAUCGUUCAUGGUUGAUCACUGUCAUCGAUCAACAUCUAUUACUGCUGAUCAAGGUUGAUCACCGAUCACUGCUGUCGAUCACCACUGAUCACUCUAUGAGUCCUAAUCCUAAUUCUCUUUUAAAUGACGACAAAGGCAUUGCUAAAAAUAUGAAUAAGGUAAAUUUUAUACCAAAUGACCCAUUUACUUUGAAUAACUAUGAUAACUUGCUUUUUAAACAAGAAAUAUAACAUUUUAUAUUUAUUAUAAAUGCAGGAUCAAUACCGAAUUGUGAGACUCCGAUUGCAUGAUCCUGAAUAUUUUUAAAAAAUAUUUUUUAAAAAAUUAAUUAUUGGCAAACAAACGGACCCUAAGUGCCUCUACUUAUAUGAUUUUAGUCAUCACACACGGUUGAACAACACAACCAUAUCUCAUAAAAGAGCGACACUUGUUUCAAUAUAAGCUUGGUAUAUAUAUAUACACGUGUGUGUGAGAGAUAUAGAUGACCCUUAAUCUUGCUAUACUUUUUUAUUAUUAAUAAAUUAAAUUAUUUUUCGUAAUUUUAUUAAAUAAUUUAAGAUUAUAUUUGAUGUAUUAAUAAUAAUAAAAAUUUGAAUUUAAAUUAUUUAUCAUUUAAAUAUCCUGAAAGGGAGAGGAAUUGAUUGACACGAAAGCUUUUCUUGAAAUUUAUUUUAUGGCCGACAACUAUUGUCUGUAUUGAUAAACAUGUUAGAAAAUAAAUGGCGUAGGUAGUCUCAGUGUGGACUGUGGACUCUCAGGUCAGUUAUUUUCGUGUCAGAUAACCUUUGUUCAUCCAAACCAAAGCAAAAAAGAUGAGCAAAUCAGGCUGCUCAAAGCUUCACAUCGCCAUGUUUCCCUGGGUUGCAUAUGGUCAUUUCAUUCCCUACCUUCAUCUCUCAAAUAAGUUGGCUCAUAAAGGCCAUAAAAUUUCCUUCAUUUUGCCUGAAGGAGUGCAACCAAAGCUGGAAAACAUGAACCAAUACCCCAACUUGAUUCAAUUCGUUCCUCUAGUUAUACCCCAUGUCGAUGGCCUCCCUCCAGGUGCUGAAACUACAUCUGUUGUUCCUCUGAACCAACAAAAAUACCUUGCUUUUGCUGUAGAUCAAACCAGGGACCAAGUUGAAGGCAUCCUAGGGGAUUUAAAACCAGAUAUGGUUUUUUUAUGAUUUCUGGUUUUGGAUCCCAGACUUGGCUCGCCAACUUGGGAUCCACCCCAUAUGCUAUGUAGUGGUUUCCUCGAUGAUCAUGUCGAUUGGGCCAAGCACCAAGACUCUAACCAAAGAAAUGACUGUAGAAGAGGUGACGAAAUUGCCUCCUGAUUACCCUUCUUCCAUUGUGAAAUUCAAAGCUGAAGAGGCUGCUGUAUUGUUGUUUGGGGCUGAGGAUUUCGGGAGUGAACUGUCGUUUGGGGAACGGAUAAGGACUGCUGUGAGUGGAAGUGAUGCCAUUGCCUUCAGGACUUGCCGUCAAACCGAGGGACCAUUUUGCGACUAUGUUGCUCGAGGAUAUGGGAAGGCUGUUUUGUUAUCAGGGCCUUGCUUCCUUGAAACAAAGACCCAACAGCUUGAUGAGAAAUGGGUUAGUUGGUUAAGCCAGUUCGAGCCAGGUUCUGUUGUGUUUUGCUCAUUUGGAAGCCAGAGUGUGUUAUAGAAGGACGAGUUCCAGGAGUUGGUGCUUGGGUUUGAGCUAUGUGGGCUACCAUUUUUGGUAGCUUUAAAGCCACCCCAAGGAUUCUCGACUGUUGAAGAAGCUCUGCCGGAGGGGUUUCAAGAUAGGGUUGGAGGAAGAGGGUUGGUGUAUGGAGGUUGGGUUCCACAAGAGCAGCUACUGCACCACCCUAACAUUGGGUGUUUCGUUAACCACUGUGGGUAUGGAACGAUGUGGGAGUUUUUGCUUAGUGACUGCCAAAUCGUGUUGAUUCCUGAAAUUGGGGAUCAAAUUUUGAACACCAGAUUAAUGGUGGAAGAACUCAAGAUUGGAGUUGAAGUGGAGAGAGGUAAAAACAGGGAGGUUUCAAAGGAGUCAUUGAGUGAAGCCAUCAAGUUUGUGAUGGACAAGGACAAUGAAACAGCUAAUAUGAUGAAGAGAAACCAUGCUAAGCUGAAGCAAAUACUAUCUAACAGGGAUCUUCAAGAAGGAUAUAUCAACAAUUUCAUCCAAGCUCUGCAAGAUCUUGUCAAAUAGAGUGGCAAAAUCCAAGCAAUUGGUUAGAAAAUGAAAGUGAAUCAUAGGUAUGAUUAUUGUUUUAUCACAUUCUUAUUUUCUAAUUGUCCAUGCUUUUAUUAAUUUCAAAUAAAGCAAUGUUUAUUAAAUUACAAUUUUAAUAUAUAAAUAAAAAUUCAAAUAAACUUUAAUUGAAAGUUCCAAUGAAAUGAAAAUUUGAAAUUGAAAUAAAAUUCAAAUAAAAUAUCAAUUUAAAGCAAUAUUUAUUAAAUUACAAUUUAAAUAUAUGAAUAAAAAUUUAUAAUAAAUAUAAUUUAAAUAAAGAAAGCAAUAUUUAUUAAAUUACAAUUUAAAUAUAUAAAUAAAAAUUCAAAUAAAAUUUAUUUAAAAAUUACAUUGAAUUGAAAUGAAAUUCAAAUAAAAUAUCAAUUUAAAGCAAUAUUUAUUAAAUUAUAAUUUAAAUAUAUAAAUAAAAAUUCAAUUCAACAGUUACAUGACAAAUGAAGUUAUAAUUAAAAAAGAAAAAAAAAGUGAAAUCAAAUUCAAAUUGAAAUCAAAUUCAAAUGAAAAAAAAAAUUCAAAAUGACAAUACAUGACAGGCCGGCACUUGUUACAGCCUUGUCAAAACAGGCCACCCAAUGGCUGGCACCAGCGGCCCAAUGUGCUAGAUCAGCCUGUCAAUGGCCAAUUUCAAAAAAUUAAAUUUUGUCAGGCCUAUGAGGCCUAAUCUGUGUCAAAUCGGCCACUCAAUUGCUGGCAUCAGUAGACUAGACCUGCUCUAACAUGCCCCGGGGCAGGGGCCAAAAUUUUAUUUUCUUUUUCUUUUUUUCCCUUUUUACCCCUACUCAACCCCUAUGGUCCCCCACUUUAAAUGUCAUGCUUCAACCUAAAAUUCGAGCACCAUCGCAGAUAACUAUCGUUCACCAUCGAUCAUCACCGCUGAUCAUAGUCAUUCAUGGUUGAUCACUGUCUUCAAUCAACAUCUAUUACUCCUGAUCAAGGCUAAUCACCGAUCACCGCCGUCGAUCACUGUCGAUCACCACUGAUCACUCCAUGAGUCCUAAUCCUAAUUCUCUUUUAAAUGACGACAACCGCAUUGCUAAAAAUAUGAAUAAGGUAAAUUUUAUACCAAAUGACCCAUUUACUUUGAAUAACUAUGAUAACUUGUUUUUAAACGAGAAAUAUAACAUUUUAUAUUUAUUAUAAAUGCAGGAUCAGUACCGAAUUGUGAGACCCCGAUUGCAUGAUCCUGAAUAUUUUUUCGAUUUGAAGGUUUUGCCAUAUUUGAACGCCGCGAGUUUUAGGGUAGCCGUGUACAUUUAGAUAGCCGAUCUACAGGCCAAUUUAAUAUUGGCCUUAGUUGAAAUAUGACGCCCAAAGGCACACAUGUUUCACCUCCCAUGUGGGGAGGUCACCAUUACACUGCAAGAUGUAGCAGUCUAGCUGGGGAUGUCUAUUAACAACGAAGUAGUGACGGGGCUUAGAAAAUUGCUCGUUCCGUGGGGCACUUGCGAAUGGUUACUUAGAAGAAUGCCCCCAACGAUGAGGAAUGAAGAUUGACCAGUCUUAAAUUUACCUAUUAAGAACAAACUUCCAAAAUCUACCUAGCAGUCUAACGCAAAUGGACAUUAUCUACGCUGCAAGAGCGUUUAUUCUGCAACUUAUAGGUGGAUUACUGAUGUCGGACGUGAGUCAAAAUAAAGUCCACAUCAUGUACCUCCUCUUACUAGAUGACCUUGAGCAAGCAGAGAUAUUUAGUUGGGGCUCUGCAGUAUUGGCAUGCUUAUACAGCGAGCUUUGUCGAGCAACAAAACCGUCUACCAAAACCAUGGGUGUAACACCCUUAACCCGUAUCCGUCGUCAGAAUAGGGUUACAGAGCAUUACCAAAGUUUUCAAAUCUUACGAACACAUAUUUAAAAACAUUUCAUAUCAUAUCAUUAAACAUAUUAAAAAUAAACCAAAUCAUUCAUAUUGUCCCUUACACGAGCCCUCGAGGCCUUAAAUACAUAUUAGAAACAAGUUGGGACUAAAUCAGAAACUCAGAGAAUUUUUCAAAAAAAAUUAAAAAUUUUCAACACUGCAGGGGUCACACGGCCAAGAGACACGCCCAUGUCUUAGGCCGUAUGGGCAUUCGAAGUAUGGACACACGAUCAUGUCCCAGCCUGUGUCCAUACUCGUGUAACUCACUGACUUGGGUCACACGGCCAAGCCACCAGGCCGUGUACCUUUCGAAAUAACCCCACACGCCCGUAUGCCAAGCUGUGUGCUAGGCCGUGUAACAACUUGACUUGCAACCCUUUGAAAGCUACAAGGUACACACGGCCGUGUCACCUAACCGUGUGUCACACACGGCUGUGACACGCUCAUGUGUGGACGAAAAUAGGCCAUUUUACAAGCCAUUUUUGUAAUGACCCAAAAUUCAUGGUCAUCAAAAAAGUAUGAUAUCGGGCCUCCGUCUUAGUAAAUUGGGUCAUAAAUAAUUAUUAGAAGCAAUUAUGAGUUUAGUGGAGUGCUUAAUUAGGUAUUAAUUAGGUGAAUUUAGCCUAAUUUAAAGUAAUAAGGAAAAAAGAUCAAAUUGAAUAAAGAAUGAAAGCCUAAUUAUAGAUUAAAAGAAAGUAAAAAGGGCUAAAAUGGGAAUUAAACCAUUUAUAUGAAAUGAGGCGGCAUAUAUGCAUUAAAAUCUAAGAUUUUAUUUAAGUUAUACAUAAAUAUUAUAUAUAUUAUUAUAAUUAUUAACCAUUAUUAUGGUUUUAUAUUAUUAUUAUUAUUAUUAAAUAAAGUAAAUGGUAGACAAUUGUAUGGUAAUAAAAUAUACAUGUGUAAAAAUUAUAUUUGUACAUUUGUAAACUAAACACCCAAAUUACUUAUAAUUUAAGUAUGAAGAUAUUUUAUAAUUAUUAAUUGAAUUAAUUAUAUUAUAAGAUUUUUAUAUAAUAAAUAAAUUAAAGACAUGACAAGUGUAUGAUGAUGAUAAGGUACAAAUGUAAUAAUAUUUAUGUGUACAAUAGUAAUAAAUGUAAAUGAUAUUAAAAUAGAUAUUUACUAAUUAUUAUUAUUAAGUUAAAGAUAUUUAUUAAAUUAAAUAAUUAAACUAUGAGACUUUUAUUUGAUAAACAAAUUAAAUAAUGACAAUUGUAAUAAAAUCAUUGGUACAAAUGUAGAAAUAUAGGUGUGACCAAAUGUAAAAUAAGUAUUGUUAUUAAAAUAGAUAUUUAUUAUAAUCAUUAUAUUAUGUUAAUAAAAUAAAUAAAAUAUAAAAAGAAACAAAAACAAAGAAUAGAAACAGAAUUGAGACGAGAAGCAGGGGAGAAAAAGGGUAAGAAAAAUAAAAGAGAAAAUUAGGGAUUUGAAACUUGAAACUUUAAUUGGUAAGUUUAAUCAAGUCCUUUUCUUAUAAAUUUGAUGUUCUUGGAAUCCAAGAGACGAAAUACUCUUGGAUUUAAGUUGAAAUUUUGAAAGUUAAUAGAUUUUUUAGUAGGGUUUAUGUUGAAUAAAUGAUGAAAUUGAGGGUUUAUUUGAUAGAAAUUUUGAUUGGAAUUGAAUAAAGGAUUGAAUUGUAAACUAAGCCAUAAGUUUUGAGUUUUAGGGAUUAAAUUGAAAUAAAUUUGAAAUUGGGAAAAUAUGCUCAAAUUUUAAUAGUUAAAUUUUAGUUUGGAUGAAAUUUGAAUAAAAAUAGAGUGUGAGUUGAAUUAGGAAAGUAAGUGAAUUUAGUUAGGAUCAAAUUGAGAAUAAGGAAGAAAUUUAAUAGAAAUUCAAUUAUUUAUCAUAAUUAGUGUUGUAAUUAAUAGUGUAAAUUAUUAUUAUUUUCGUAGCUAGCAAAGAACCAGAAGCAUCGGCACGGAAGGGAAAAGAGAAGAUUAUCGAGGAGUAAACCCGAGAAAAUCAUGGUUUGUAUUACUAUAAUUCAAAUCACUUUUUAUUAAAUGUUUUAUAUAAAUUUUAUAUUUAAUAAAUGAGUAUAAGGUAAGUAUUAAUAUGAGUUGAAUGGGAAUUGAUUGGAUGGUGAAUGUGUAUGUAUAAUUGAAUUGUAUAUUGAUUUGAAUGUGAAAUUGAAUAUUGACUUGAAAAAAAAAUGGAAAGGUGAAUUUUGAAUUGAAUUGUGAUUAAAAUUGAAAAAGUGGAAUUGAAUUGAAAUGUGAAUUUGGAGACCCUAUUAACUAGUCGGGCUGAGUCAGACAUAGUUGGUAUGCUAUAGGAUUGGAAGAGUUCAGGGAUACUUCGACCUCAAGUCGAUGAGACACUGGGUGUUAUUAUAUUUCUUUGGAUAGAUUCGAUGAGGUACUGGGUACCAACUUUAUUCGGCUUUGCCGAUGGGACACUGGGUGUUAACUAUUGCUUCGAACUAUCCGAUGAGGCACUGGGUACCAUGCCCAUACUGGAGUGUUUGGUUGGAUCCGUGUAUCUGCCAAAGUUCGAGUUUUGUUAAUAGGGUAAAUAAUGAAAUGAUAAACUGAAUGAGUUGAUCAAUCGAGCUAUUGAGAUGAAAUGAAAAGUUGAAUGGUGAAUUGAAAUGUGAUAUGAGAUUGAGAAAUGAAUCUGAAGUUCGAAAUGUGUCCAAUUUCCAAAUUAUGGAUAUAUGAUAUUAAUUGAUGAAUUAUUGAUGUUGAAACAUGAAAUUUGAGUUUAAAUUUGUAUGUAUGAUUUUAUACAUUACAUGCUUAUUAAUAUUAUAAUUUGAAUUAUGGUAAUACCACUGAGUAUGAAAUACUCAGCGUACAGUUAUUUCCGUGCGCAGGUCAUUAGAGUUUAAGGUCCAGUUCAGCAUCCAGAAAGAUCCCAACUCCAUCAAGAAAACUUUGGUGAUGUAUUUCUUCCUUUUGUUUAAGUGGCAUGUACUAGGUGAUUGUACACGAGUCAUAUAUAUAUAAAUAUAUAUAUGCUAAAUGAUCUUGGUUGUAAGUAAAUGGUUAUAAUCUUUAGAAUGAUAAAUAAAGUAGCGUUUUAAAAUAUAAAAUUAUUGAUUGAAAUAUUGGUGUUGGGUUUUUUUUGUUUUAAGUUUUUAGGGGGUUUUAUGUAAAAAUAAGCAGAAAUAUUGUCGAAAUUUUUUAAAAAAUGAAGCCAAUUAGUAUAAAUUUAUAUGAAUUUAUGAUUCUUUUAUAUAUAUUAGUGAUAUAUUAAGAAUUAUUUGUGAAUUGUUCGAGAUGUCCAAUAAUGCCUCGUAAUCCUGUUCCGACGAUGAUUUAGGGUUAGAGAAUAUUACAAUUUUUCUCACCCAUCAAGGCAUAUACCUACAAAAAAAAAUGCAAAUAUAUACAAGCCAUAACAAUGCACCAAAAUCAUGCAUAUUCUAGCGUCAUACUCAUUUAGCUUCGUACAUAUGCAAAUUUGUAAAAAAAGUACAAAAACUCGUAGCUAUAAUUUACGAAAUAACUUCGUAGACAUGUACAAGUUAGGACUGAAUUUUUUUUUCCUUUUAAAGAAAUCAGAACUGAAUUAUUAUUUAAUAAUAAUCUUUUAAAAAAGAUGAUUAUAAUAUAUCUACGGGGUAAGUAGAAAACAAGAAUAUUUGAUUAUUCGUUGAUUAGAAGUUAUACAUACUCCGUUUAAUAAUUACAAUAGGAAAAACAGAGUUGGCAUGCGUAAUUGCCUUCGUGUCAGCGUCUCUAAUUUCUUAGAGGUAAUGAUUACAAAAUAUAAUAAAAUAUUUUCAGUAUGGACAAACAUGAUGAAGAAAAAAAGGCGUUUGUUGUGCAAUUGUUAAUGGUAGGCGUUAUAAUUAGAUCGGUUUUUUGUCUCUCAGAUCACAUUGUGCAAGCAAAAAAAGAAAGAUGAGCAAAUCAGGCCACUCAAAGCUUCACAUCGCCAUGUUUCCAUGGGUUGCCUAUGGUCAUUUCAUCCCCUUCCUUCAUCUCUCUAAUAAGCUGGCUCAUAAAGGCCACCAAAUUUCCUUCCUUGUUCCCAAAGGAGUUCAACCAAAGCUUGAAAACCUGAACCAAUACCCCAACUUGAUUCGGUUCUUUCCUCUACAUAUACCCCAUGUCGAUGGCCUCCCUCCAGGUGCUGAAACUACAUCUGUUGUUCCUAUGAACCAGCAAAAAUACCUUGCUUUUGCUGUAGACCAAACCAGGGACCAAGUUGAAGGAAUCUUAAAGGUUAUAAAACCUGAUAUGGUUUUUUAUGAUUUCUGGUUUUGGAUCCCUGACUUGGCUCGCCAGCUUGGGAUCCUCCCCAUAUUCUAUGUAGUGGUUUCCUCAAUGUCGAUGGGGUUAAACACCAAGGCACUAACCAAAGAAAUGACUGUAGAAGAGGUGAUGGAAUUGCCUCCUGGUUACCCUCUUUCCACAGUGAAACUCAAACCUGAAGAGGCUGCUGCAAUGUUGUUUGAGGCUGAGGAUUUCGGAAGUGGACUGUCGUUUCGGGAACGGAUAAGGACUGCUGUGAAAGGAAGUGAUGCCAUUGCCUUCAGGACUUGCAGUGAAAUCGAGGAACCAUUUUGUGACUUUGUCGCUGAAGAAUUUGGGAAGCCUGUUUUGUUGUCAGGGCCUUGUUUGCCUGAAACGAAUACCCAACAGCUUGAUGAGGAAUGGGUUAGUUGGUUGAGCCAGUUCCAGCCAGGGUCUGUUGUGUUUUGCUCAUUUGGAAGCCAGAGUGUGUUGCAGAAGGAUGAGUUCCAGGAGUUGGUGCUUGGGUUUGAGCUAUGUGGGCUACCAUUUUUGGUAGCUUUAAAGCCACCCCAAGGAUUCUCGACUGUUGAAGAAGCACUGCCGGAGGGGUUUCAAGAUAGGGUUGGAGG